UACGAAGGGUGCAAGCGUUAAUCGGAAUUACUGGGCGUAAAGCGUGCGUAGGUGGUUCGUUAAGUCUGUUGUGAAAGCCCUGGGCUCAACCUGGGAAUGGCGAUGGAUACUGGCGAGCUAGAGUACGGUAGAGGAUGGUGGAAUUCCCGGUGUAGCGGUGAAAUGCGUAGAGAUCGGGAGGAACAUUAGUGGCGAAGGCGGCCAUCUGGACCAGUACUGACGCUGAGGCACGAAAGCGUGGGGAGCAAACAGG
RNAcentral lists this ribosomal RNA (253 nucleotides) under uncultured bacterium. Its description in RNAcentral is "partial 16S ribosomal RNA". It matches the Rfam family "Bacterial small subunit ribosomal RNA", at positions 524 to 776 of the family's 1533-position model. The record is from RNAcentral.